CUUAAAGAAUAAUACAAGUACCAAAGAUUCCAAUGUCUACUAUACGAUUGACUCUGCUUAUUAUUCAAUAUUAUCAUAUUACAUGGCGUUUGGCUUGAGAAUGCACUAGACUCUUAGGUGUGGAAGACAAAAGGAAAAAUUACAACAAUAAGCCCUUACAAUUCUAACCAAAUCCUAAUCAAAUCUUAGAUAAACCUUAAUCAAAUCUUAGUCAAAUCCUAUCCAAAUCCUAAACAAUCCUAAAUAAAUUCUAACCAAAUCGUAACCAAACCCUAAACAAUCCUAAAUAAAUCUUAACCAAAUCCUAAACAAACUCUAAACAAAUCCUAAAUAGCUCUAAACAAAUCGUAAUCAAACCAUAAUCGAAACCUAAAUAAUCUUAAAUAAAUCCUAAUUCUAGAUCAAAUCUUAACCAAAUCCUAAAUACUAAAUCAAACCCUAAUUCAAUCCUAACCCUAAAUCAAAUCUUAAUCAAAUCCUAAAUUCUAAAACAAAUCUUAACUAAACUCUAAAUACUAAAGCAAAUCCUAAACUCUAAAUCAAAUCCUAAUCCUAAAUCAAACCUUAAUUAAAUCCUAACCAUAAAUCAAAUCCUAACCAAAUCCUAAAUCCUAAAUCAAAUCUAAGUAAUUCCUACAAUAGAUUUAAACCUCAAUUAUUAAUCAAUGAA
RNAcentral lists this long non-coding RNA (670 nucleotides) under Physcomitrium patens. RNAcentral's name for it is "long non-coding RNA (PPAT_LNC004825)". Lineage: Eukaryota; Viridiplantae; Streptophyta; Bryopsida; Funariales; Funariaceae. The record is from RNAcentral.